GACGAACGCUGGCGGCGUGCUUAACACAUGCAAGUCGAACGGAAACUCCCUGCUUUUUUGGGGUGCUCGAGUUGCGAACUGGUGAGCAACACUUAAGUAACCUGCCACUGCCUGUGGGAUAACUUCAGGCAGCUUGGGCUAAUACCGGAUAAGAGCUCCUGCUUCAUGGUGGGCCUUGGUUAGUUUCGGCGGUUGGUGGUGGACUGGCGUCUUAUCACCUUGUUGGGUGGGUAGUGGCUUACCAAGGCUUUGACCGGUAGCCGACCUGAGAGGAUGAGCGGCUACAUUGCACCGGAACUGAGGCCCAGACUACAAAGGGAGGCAACAGUGGAGAAUAGAGCACAAGAGGAGGGGGCCUGAUGUAGCACCGCAGCGUGCGGGAUGACGGCCUGCGGGUUGUAAUCCACAUUUGCCUGUGACGAAGCGUGAGUGACGGUAAUGGGUAAAGAAGCACCGGCUAACUACGUG
This 468-nucleotide ribosomal RNA is filed under the name uncultured bacterium. RNAcentral's name for it is "partial 16S ribosomal RNA". It matches the Rfam family "Bacterial small subunit ribosomal RNA", at positions 28 to 507 of the family's 1533-position model. The record is from RNAcentral.